Molecule: transfer RNA, 75 nt
Filed under: Erysipelothrix sp.
Lineage: Bacteria; Bacillati; Bacillota; Erysipelotrichia; Erysipelotrichales; Erysipelotrichaceae
Description: tRNA-Asn
Rfam family: tRNA
About the family: Transfer RNA (tRNA) molecules are approximately 80 nucleotides in length. Their secondary structure includes four short double-helical elements and three loops (D, anti-codon, and T loops). Further hydrogen bonds mediate the characteristic L-shaped molecular structure. tRNAs have two regions of fundamental functional importance: the anti-codon, which is responsible for specific mRNA codon recognition, and the 3' end, to which the tRNAs corresponding amino acid is attached (by aminoacyl-tRNA synthetases). tRNAs cope with the degeneracy of the genetic code in two manners: having more than one tRNA (with a specific anti-codon) for a particular amino acid; and 'wobble' base-pairing, i.e. permitting non-standard base-pairing at the 3rd anti-codon position.
Source: RNAcentral
GCCUGAAUAGCUCAGCGGUAGAGCAACCGGCUGUUAACCGGUUGGUCACAGGUUCAAAUCCUGUUUCAGGCGCCA